RNAcentral lists this ribosomal RNA (253 nucleotides) under uncultured bacterium. RNAcentral describes it as "partial 16S ribosomal RNA". It matches the Rfam family "Bacterial small subunit ribosomal RNA", at positions 524 to 776 of the family's 1533-position model. The record is from RNAcentral.
UACGUAGGGGGCAAGCGUUGUCCGGAAUCAUUGGGCGUAAAGAGCGUGUAGGCGGCUCGUUAAGUCUGCUGUGAAAGUCCAGGGCUCAACCCUGGAAGGCCGGUGGAAACUGUCGGGCUAGAGUCCGGAAGAGGCGAGUGGAAUUCCCGGUGUAGCGGUGAAAUGCGCAGAUAUCGGGAGGACCACCAAUGGCGAAGGCACCUCGCUGGGACGGUACUGACGCUGAGACGCGAAAGCGUGGGGAGCAAACAGG